Molecule: ribosomal RNA, 473 nt
Filed under: uncultured bacterium
Lineage: Bacteria
Description: bacterial SSU rRNA
Rfam family: Bacterial small subunit ribosomal RNA
Source: RNAcentral
AACGAACGCUGGCGGCAUGCCUAACACAUGCAAGUCGAGCGCCCGUAGCAAUACGGGAGCGGCGCACGGGUGAGUAACGCGUGGGAACCUGCCCAGAGGUCUGGGACAACCGCGGGAAACUGCGGCUGAUACCGGAUGAUUCCUGAGGGACAAAGAUUUAUCGCCUUUGGAGGGGCCCGCGUCGGAUUAGGUAGUUGGUGGGGUAACGGCUCACCAAGCCUAUGAUCCGUAACUGGUCUGAGAGGAUGACCAGUCACACUGGGACUGAGACACGGCCCAGACUCCUACGGGAGGCAGCAGUGGGGAGUAUUGGACAAUGGGGGGCAACCCUGAUCCAGCAAUGCCGCGUGCAGGAAGACGGCCCUCUGGGUUGUAAACUGCUUUUAACUGGGAAGAAAGCAGCUCAUGCGUGAGAAUUUGACGGUACCAGUUGAAUAAGCCACGGCUAACUACGUGCCAGCAGCCGCGGUAAU